UACAGAGGGUGCGAGCGUUGUUCGGAAUUACUGGGCGUAAAGGGCUCGUAGGCGGCCAACUAAGUCAGACGUGAAAUCCCCCGGCUUAACCUGGGAACUGCGUCUGAUACUGGAAGGCUUGAGUUCGGGAGAGGGAUGUGGAAUUCCAGGUGUAGCGGUGAAAUGCGUAGAUAUCUGGAGGAACACCGGUGGCGAAGGCGGCAUCCUGGACCGAAACUGACACUGAGGCGCGAAAGCCAGGGGAGCAAACGGG
This 253-nucleotide ribosomal RNA is filed under the name uncultured bacterium. RNAcentral describes it as "partial 16S ribosomal RNA". It matches the Rfam family "Bacterial small subunit ribosomal RNA", at positions 524 to 776 of the family's 1533-position model. The record is from RNAcentral.